AAGGAUAAUCGGAAAGCGACAGGGACUUAAGUGUCAAUUUGUUUGUUUCAAAGUUUUGUUUAGUUUUGAGUGUGAUACUUUAAUAGGUAUCAUUGUCUCAAAGUGAUCCUAUGGGGAAUUAGCUCAGCUGGGAGAGCACCUGCUUUGCAAGCAGGGGGUCAGCGGUUCGAUCCCGCUAUUCUCCAUAGCUAGUCGACAGGCUAGCAUGUUGUACAUUGAAAACUGAAUAGUAACAAAUUCUUUUAAAAGCAAUCGAAAGAUUGUACUAAAAUGAACCGAGAAACAACACAAAAAGUUCUUUAAAAAGAACGGUUUAAUCGCAGGUCUGAAAAAUGACCAACUCAUAAACUUAAACCACAACUACGGUUGUAUAG
RNAcentral lists this transfer RNA (374 nucleotides) under Leuconostoc pseudomesenteroides. RNAcentral describes it as "partial 16S-23S ribosomal RNA intergenic spacer". The stretch from base 113 to 185 matches the Rfam family "tRNA". The record is from RNAcentral. Lineage: Bacteria; Bacillati; Bacillota; Bacilli; Lactobacillales; Lactobacillaceae.